CCAGGUGGCUAUAGAGAGAGGGAAACGCCCGGCCCCAUUCCGAACCCGGAAGCUAAGCCUCCCUUCGCUGAUGAUACUGCAUCUUUCAGGUGUGGAAAACUAGGUCGCCGCCUGGU
RNAcentral lists this ribosomal RNA (116 nucleotides) under Sulfuricurvum sp. The record is from RNAcentral. Lineage: Bacteria; Pseudomonadati; Campylobacterota; Epsilonproteobacteria; Campylobacterales; Sulfurimonadaceae.